CAAUAGCGUAUAUUUAAGUUGUUGCAGUUAAAAAGCUCGUAGUUGGAUUUCUGUCAAGGACAACUGGUCCGCCCUCCGGGUGAGCACAUAGUUUGGUCUUGGCAUCUUGCUGGAAACUGUUGCUGCGCUUGGUUGUGUGGUGCAGCUUUCAGCACUUUCACUUUGAGGAAAUUGGAGUGUUUCAAGCAGGCACAUGCCUUUGGACACAGUAGCAUGGAAUAAUUAGAUUGGGCUUUUGCUCCAACUUGUUGGUUCCUGGAGCUGAGGUGAGAAUCAAUGGGGAUUGUUGGGGGCAUCCGAAUUUAGCCGUCAGAGGUGAAAUUCUUGGAUCUGCUAAAGACGGACAACUGCGAAAGCGUUUGCCCAGGAUGUUUUCAUUG
Molecule: ribosomal RNA, 380 nt
Filed under: uncultured eukaryote
Lineage: Eukaryota
Description: partial 18S ribosomal RNA
Rfam family: Eukaryotic small subunit ribosomal RNA
Source: RNAcentral